AACGAACGCUGGCGGCAUGCCUAACACAUGCAAGUCGAACGAUCCCUUCGGGGAUAGUGGCGCACGGGUGCGUAACGCGUGGGAACCUGCCCUUAGGUUCGGAAUAACUCAGAGAAAUUUGAGCUAAUACCGGAUAAUGUCUUCGGACCAAAGAUUUAUCGCCUUUGGAUGGGCCCGCGUUGGAUUAGCUAGUUGGUGGGGUAAAGGCCUACCAAGGCGACGAUCCAUAGCUGGUCUGAGAGGAUGAUCAGCCACACUGGGACUGAGACACGGCCCAGACUCCUACGGGAGGCAGCAGUGGGGAAUAUUGGACAUUGGGCGAAAGCCUGAUCCAGCAAUGCCGCGUGAGUGAUGAAGGCCUUAGGGUUGUAAAGCUCUUUUACCCGGGAUGAUAAUGACAGUACCGGGAGAAUAAGCCCCGGCUAACUCCGUG
RNAcentral lists this ribosomal RNA (433 nucleotides) under uncultured bacterium. RNAcentral's name for it is "partial 16S ribosomal RNA". It matches the Rfam family "Bacterial small subunit ribosomal RNA", at positions 29 to 507 of the family's 1533-position model. The record is from RNAcentral.